Molecule: ribosomal RNA, 253 nt
Filed under: uncultured bacterium
Lineage: Bacteria
Description: partial 16S ribosomal RNA
Rfam family: Bacterial small subunit ribosomal RNA
Source: RNAcentral
UACGGAGGGUGCAAGCGCUAUCCGGAUUCACUGGGUUUAAAGGGUGCGUAGGUGGGCAGGUAAGUCAGUGGUGAAAUCUCCGGGCUUAACCCGGAAACUGCCAUUGAUACUAUCUGUCUUGAAUACCGUGGAGGUGAGCGGAAUAUGUCAUGUAGCGGUGAAAUGCUUAGAUAUGACAUAGAACACCAAUUGCGAAGGCAGCUCACUACACGAAUAUUGACACUGAGGCACGAAAGCGUGGGGAUCAAACAGG